UACAGAGGUCUCAAGCGUUGUUCGGAUUCAUUGGGCGUAAAGGGUGCGUAGGCGGCGCGGUAAGUCGGGUGUGAAAUCUCGGAGCUUAACUCCGAAACUGCAUUCGAUACUGCCGUGCUUGAGGACUGGAGAGGAGACUGGAAUUUACGGUGUAAGCGGUGAAAUGCGUAGAUAUCGUAAGGAAGACCAGUGGCGGAAGGCGGG
RNAcentral lists this ribosomal RNA (204 nucleotides) under uncultured bacterium. Its description in RNAcentral is "partial 16S ribosomal RNA". It matches the Rfam family "Bacterial small subunit ribosomal RNA", at positions 524 to 725 of the family's 1533-position model. The record is from RNAcentral.